This 258-nucleotide ribosomal RNA is filed under the name uncultured bacterium. RNAcentral's name for it is "partial 16S ribosomal RNA". It matches the Rfam family "Bacterial small subunit ribosomal RNA", at positions 1244 to 1500 of the family's 1533-position model. The record is from RNAcentral.
AAGAAGCGAAGCGGUGACGUGGAGCAAACCUCAGAAAGCCAAAUCUCAGUUCGGAUUGUAGGCUGCAACUCGCCUACAUGAAGUUGGAAUCGCUAGUAAUCGCGAAUCAGAAUGUCGCGGUGAAUACGUUCCCGGGUCUUGUACACACCGCCCGUCACACCACGAGAGUUUACAACACCCGAAGCCAGUGGCCUAACCGCAAGGAGGGAGCUGCCUAAGGUGGGGUAGAUGAUUGGGGUGAAGUCGUAACAAGGUAUC